UACGUAGGGAGCAAGCGUUGUCCGGAUUUAUUGGGCGUAAAGAGCUCGUAGGCGGCUUAGCAAGUCAGGUGUGAAACCUCCAGGCUCAACCUGGAGACGCCACUUGAUACUGCUAUGGCUUGAGUUUGGUAGGGGAAGACGGAAUUCCUGGUGUAGCGGUGAAAUGCGCAGAUAUCAGAGAGGAACACCGAUGGCGAAGGCAGUCUUCUGGGCCAAAACUGACGCUGAGGAGCGAAAGCGUGGGUAGCGAACAGG
RNAcentral lists this ribosomal RNA (255 nucleotides) under uncultured bacterium. RNAcentral's name for it is "partial 16S ribosomal RNA". It matches the Rfam family "Bacterial small subunit ribosomal RNA", at positions 524 to 776 of the family's 1533-position model. The record is from RNAcentral.